GGAUAACGUUUGGAAACGAACGCUAAUACCGCAUGAUAUUAUUGAGCUGCAUGGCUUGAUAAUCAAAGGAGCAAUCCGCUGAAAGAUGGGCUCGCGUCCGAUUAGGUAGUUGGCGGGGCAACGGCCCACCAAGCCGACGAUCGGUAGCCGGACUGAGAGGUUGAACGGCCACAUUGGGACUGAGACACGGCCCAGACUCCUACGGGAGGCAGCAGUGAGGGAUAUUGGUCAAUGGGGGAAACCCUGAACCAGCAACGCCGCGUGAGGGAAGACGGUUUUCGGAUUGUAAACCUCUGUCCUCUGUGAAGUUAAUGACGGUAGCAGAGGAGGAAGCUCCGGCUAACUACGUGCCAGCAGCCGCGGUAGUACGUAGGGAGCAAGCGUUGUCCGGAUUUACUGGGUGUAAAGGGUGCGUAGGCGGCUUUGCAAGUCAGAAGUGAAAUCCAUGGGCUUAACCCAUGAACUGCUUUUGAAACUGCAGAGCUUGAGUGGAGUAGAGGUAGGCGGAAUUCCCGGUGUAGCGGUGAAAUGCGUAGAGAUCGGGAGGAACACCAGUGGCGAAGGCGGCCUGCUGGGCUCUAACUGACGCUGAGGCACGAAAGCGUGGGUAGCAAACAGGAUUAGAUACCCUGGUAGUCCACGCUGUAAACGAUGAUUACUAGGUGUGGGUGGACUGACCCCAUCCGUGCCGGA
This 693-nucleotide ribosomal RNA is filed under the name uncultured bacterium. Its description in RNAcentral is "bacterial SSU rRNA". It matches the Rfam family "Bacterial small subunit ribosomal RNA", at positions 141 to 850 of the family's 1533-position model. The record is from RNAcentral.